GUUUCCAUAGUGUAGUGGUUAUCACGUCUGCCUAACACGCAGAAGGUCCCUGUUUCGAAAAUGGGUGGAAACA
RNAcentral lists this transfer RNA (73 nucleotides) under Takifugu rubripes (torafugu). RNAcentral describes it as "tRNA-Val (AAC) (tRNA-Val-AAC-7-1)". It matches the Rfam family "tRNA". Rfam says of the family: Transfer RNA (tRNA) molecules are approximately 80 nucleotides in length. Lineage: Eukaryota; Metazoa; Chordata; Actinopteri; Tetraodontiformes; Tetraodontidae. The record is from RNAcentral.